RNAcentral lists this ribosomal RNA (273 nucleotides) under uncultured bacterium. Its description in RNAcentral is "partial 16S ribosomal RNA". It matches the Rfam family "Bacterial small subunit ribosomal RNA", at positions 524 to 796 of the family's 1533-position model. The record is from RNAcentral.
UACGGAGGGGGCAAGCGUUGUUCGGAAUUACUGGGCGUAAAGCGCGCGUAGGCGGAUUAGUCAGUUAGAGGUGAAAUCCCGGGGCUCAACCCCGGAACUGCCUUCGAUACUGGUAGUCUUGAGUUCGAGAGAGGUGAGUGGAAUUCCGAGUGUAGAGGUGAAAUUCGUAGAUAUUCGGAGGAACACCAGUGGCGAAGGCGGCUCACUGGCUCGAUACUGACGCUGAGGUGCGAAAGCGUGGGGAGCAAACAGGAUUAGAUACCCCCGUAGUCC